RNAcentral lists this ribosomal RNA (468 nucleotides) under uncultured bacterium. Its description in RNAcentral is "partial 16S ribosomal RNA". It matches the Rfam family "Bacterial small subunit ribosomal RNA", at positions 28 to 507 of the family's 1533-position model. The record is from RNAcentral.
GACGAACGCUGGCGGCGUGCUUAACACAUGCAAGUCGAACGGAAAGGCCCGGUGCUUGUGGGGUGCUCGAGUGGCGAACAGGGGAGUGAAACGCGAGUAACCUGCGCCUGACAUUGGGAGAACAUCAGGGAACUGGAGUGCAUAUAGCACAGGAGCUCCUGAUGCAUGGGGGGGGAUGGUGAGAUUCGGCGGUUGGGGAUGGACUCGCGGCUUAUCGGCUUGUUGGUGGGGUAGUGGCGUACCACGGCUUUGACGGGUAGCCGGCCUGAGAGGGUGACCGGCCACAUUGGCACUCGGAUGGGGCCCGGACUCCUACGUGGGGCAGCGGUGAGAGUUAUUGCACGAUGGGCGGAAGCCGGGUGGAGCAACGCCGCGUGCGAGAUGUCGGCCUUCGGGUUGUAAACCGCGUGCGCCUGGAACGAAGCGUGAGUGACGGUAAUUAGUAAGAAAGCACCGGCUAACUACGUG